AUUGAACGCUGGCGACAUGCCUUACACAUGCAAGUCGAACGGCAGCACGGGUGCUUGCCCCUGGUGGCGAGUGGCGAACGGGUGAGUAAUACAUCGGAACAUGUCCUGUAGUGGGGGAUAGCCCGGCGAAAGCCGGAUUAAUACCGCAUACGAUCUACGGAUGAAAGCGGGGGACCUUCGGGCCUCGCGCUAUAGGGUUGGCCGAUGGCUGAUUAGCUAGUUGGUGGGGUAAAGGCCUACCAAGGCGACGAUCAGUAGCUGGUCUGAGAGGACGACCAGUCACACUGGGACUGAGACACGGCCCAGACUCCUACGGGAGGCAGCAGUGGGGAAUUUUGGACAAAGGGCGAAAGCCUGAUCCAGCAAUGCCGCGUGUGUGAAGAAGGCCUUCGGGUUGUAAAGCACUUUUGUCCGGAAAGAAAUCCUUGGCCCUAAUACGGUCGGGGGAUGACGGUACCGGAAGAAUAAGCACCGGCUAACUACGUG
This 486-nucleotide ribosomal RNA is filed under the name uncultured bacterium. RNAcentral's name for it is "partial 16S ribosomal RNA". It matches the Rfam family "Bacterial small subunit ribosomal RNA", at positions 30 to 507 of the family's 1533-position model. The record is from RNAcentral.